AUUUAAAUAGUUUAAUUAAAAAUUUUGAUUUGUGGUAUCAAAGAUGUAGGAAAUACUUUAGAUU
Molecule: transfer RNA, 64 nt
Filed under: Neochauliodes tamdaoensis
Lineage: Eukaryota; Metazoa; Arthropoda; Insecta; Megaloptera; Corydalidae
Description: tRNA-His
Source: RNAcentral